CCUGGUUGAUUCUGCCAGUAGUCAUAUGCUUGUCUCAAAGAUUAAGCCAUGCAUGUCUAAGUAUAAGCAACUUUGUACUGUGAAACUGCGAAUGGCUCAUUAAAUCAGUUAUAGUUUAUUUGAUGGUUUUUGCUACAUGGAUAACUGUGGUAAUUCUAGAGCUAAUACAUGCAUUCAAGCCCCGACUUCUGGAAGGGGUGUAUUUAUUAGAUAAAAAUCAACUUUGUUGGUGAAUCAUAAUAACUUCUCGGACCGCAUGGCCUUGUGCUGGCGGUGCUUCAUUCAAAUAUCUGCCCUAUCAACUGUCGAUGGUAGGAUAGAGGCCUACCAUGGUUGCAACGGGUAACGGGGAAUAAGGGUUCGAUUCCGGAGAGGGAGCCUGAGAAACGGCUACCACAUCCAAGGAAGGCAGCAGGCGCGCAAAUUACCCAAUCCCGACACGGGGAGGUAGUGACAAUAUGUAACAAUAUACGGCCUUAUACGUCGUAUAAUUGGAAUGAGUACAAUUUAAAUCCCUUAACGAGGAACAAUUGGAGGGCAAGUCUGGUGCCAGCAGCCGCGGUAAUUCCAGCUCCAAUAGCGUAUAUUAAAGUUGUUGCAGUUAAAAAGCUCGUAGUUGGACCUUGGACCUGGACAGGCGGUCCGCCUCACGGCGAGUACUGUCUUGCUGGGUCUUUCCUCUUGGUGAUCUGUUGUUUCGGCAGCAGGGAACCAGGACCUUUACUUUGAAAAAUUAGAGUGUUCAAAGCAGCUCGACGCCGGAAUAUAUUAGCAUGGAAUAAUAAAUAGGACGUGCGGUUCUAUUUUGUUGGUUUUUGGAAUCGCCCGUAUGAUUAAUAGGGACAGUCGGGGGCAUAGUACUCACAUGCU
This 870-nucleotide ribosomal RNA is filed under the name uncultured fungus. RNAcentral describes it as "SSU rRNA". It matches the Rfam family "Eukaryotic small subunit ribosomal RNA", at positions 3 to 906 of the family's 1831-position model. The record is from RNAcentral. Lineage: Eukaryota; Fungi.